This 253-nucleotide ribosomal RNA is filed under the name uncultured bacterium. RNAcentral describes it as "partial 16S ribosomal RNA". It matches the Rfam family "Bacterial small subunit ribosomal RNA", at positions 524 to 776 of the family's 1533-position model. The record is from RNAcentral.
CACGUAGGGCGCAAGCGUUGUCCGGAAUUAUUGGGCGUAAAGAGCUCGUAGGCGGUCUGUUGCGUCCGCUGUGAAAACUUGGGGCUUAACCCCGAGCCUGCAGUGGAUACGGGCAGACUAGAGGUAGGUAGGGGAGAAUGGAAUUCCCGGUGUAGCGGUGAAAUGCGCAGAUAUCAGGAAGAACACCCGUGGCGAAGGCGGCUCUCUGGGACGGUACUGACGCUGAGACGCGAAAGCGUGGGGAGCGAACAGG